This 327-nucleotide long non-coding RNA is filed under the name Malus domestica (apple). RNAcentral's name for it is "long non-coding RNA (MDOM_LNC015683)". The record is from RNAcentral. Lineage: Eukaryota; Viridiplantae; Streptophyta; Magnoliopsida; Rosales; Rosaceae.
GUCAGCGUAGGGUGUGUAAGUGAAAGGCUAUUUGCUACGAUAACUUGGUAUUCGCAGGUUCAAGUCGAAUGUUCAAGCUGCAUAGUAGGUACAUAGUUAUGAUGAUCUGAUCACGAUAACAAACUUCAAGAACAUUUUCAGUUCAAGCUGCAUAGUAGUUAUGAUGAUCUGAUCACGAUAACAAACUUCAAGAACAUUUUCAAUCAUCGGUCAAAGAGCUUGUGCUAAUGUAUGUACUUGCUGAUGCCCUUCUAGAGCUACUUAUCGCGAAGAUGCACUUGCAAGUGUUACUGAAAUUUUGCAUCUCAUUGUCUUUUUAUCCAUUUU